UACAGAGGUCUCAAGCGUUGUUCGGAUUCAUUGGGCGUAAAGGGUGCGUAGGCGGUUCGGCAAGUCGGAUGUGAAAUCUCCACGCUUAACGUGGAGGGGCCAUUCGAAACUGCCGUGACUCGAGUCCGGUAGGGGAGUUCGGAAUUCCCGGUGUAGCGGUGAAAUGCGCAGAUAUCGGGAGGAACACCAGUGGCGAAGGCGGAACUCUGGGCCGGAACUGACGCUGAGGAGCGAAAGCGUGGGGAGCGAACAGG
Molecule: ribosomal RNA, 254 nt
Filed under: uncultured bacterium
Lineage: Bacteria
Description: partial 16S ribosomal RNA
Rfam family: Bacterial small subunit ribosomal RNA
Source: RNAcentral